This 450-nucleotide ribosomal RNA is filed under the name uncultured bacterium. RNAcentral's name for it is "partial 16S ribosomal RNA". It matches the Rfam family "Bacterial small subunit ribosomal RNA", at positions 354 to 796 of the family's 1533-position model. The record is from RNAcentral.
GUGGGGAAUAUUGGACAAUGGGCGAAAGCCUGAUCCAGCCAUGCCGCGUGUGUGAAGAAGGUCUUCGGAUUGUAAAGCACUUUAAGUUGGGAGGAAGGGCAGUAAGUUAAUACCUUGCUGUUUUGACGUUACCGACAGAAUAAGCACCGGCUAACUUCGUGCCAGCAGCCGCGGUAAUACGAAGGGUGCAAGCGUUAAUCGGAAUUACUGGGCGUAAAGCGCGCGUAGGUGGUUUUGUAAGUUGGAGGUGAAAUCCCCGGGCUCAACCUGGGAACUGCCUCCAAAACUGCAUGACUAGAGUACGGUAGAGGGUAGUGGAAUUUCCUGUGUAGCGGUGAAAUGCGUAGAUAUAGGAUGGAACACCAGUGGCGAAGGCGACUACCUGGACUGAUACUGACACUGAGGUGCGAAAGCGUGGGGAGCAAACAGGAUUAGAAACCCCAGUAGUCC